RNAcentral lists this unclassified non-coding RNA (204 nucleotides) under Hevea brasiliensis (rubber tree). Lineage: Eukaryota; Viridiplantae; Streptophyta; Magnoliopsida; Malpighiales; Euphorbiaceae. The record is from RNAcentral.
CAAACUCUCUUCAUGGCUUUUUGCUGAUCUUUUUCAUUAUGUAUUUGCAAUUCCAGCACUACCUUCUUCAUCGCCUUGAGCUCAGAAAAACAAAGAUGAAAAUCCAGAAAAANAACCAAAACCAAGAGGGAAAAUAAAAGAAAAAGAAGUUGCACUAUAGACAAUUACAAUGGCAAUAGAGGGAAGGAGAAGAUGAGCAAAUCC